RNAcentral lists this long non-coding RNA (689 nucleotides) under Danio rerio (zebrafish). RNAcentral's name for it is "lncRNA si:ch211-281o13.1 (ENSDARG00000096779.2)". The record is from RNAcentral. Lineage: Eukaryota; Metazoa; Chordata; Actinopteri; Cypriniformes; Danionidae.
CGUUAUUCGCCCUUGACGUUUCCUCCUCACACGAUUAAACAAAGAAACUCCCGGUAUUCUGGUCGUUGUUUCUCGUUGGAGUCACAUAAUCUGAGAGUUAGUCGUCAACGUUAGAGAAAUUGACCAUUCAAAUCUUUUCUGCAAAAUGGCGAAUCUCCAGCCGCAGAAACGAAGCUUCAGUCCAAACAGACUUACAUCGUGACAAACCCGCAACUUAACCUGAAUCAACACUGGCUCUUCAAGGUCUGAUCCAGAGAUGCUUCCUUCAGCAUACAAUCCUGAAUCUGCUGCACACCAAUGGCAGUCAUCAUGGAAAUCUGAGGCUUUUGGUUUUGUAGGCAUCUGUAUAGUCAAUCAGGAGCCACCGAAAGUCACCCGGAGCCACCCAGGAGGACCUCCAGGAAGUCCUCUUCUGGGAUUGAGUUGAAGGAUGAGACGUCUUGGCAAAAUAUAAUCUGUGAAGAGAUAAAUGAUCAAUCAUCGAUCUACCAAACAGGGAUUCGCUGGUGUUGACUGAGGGUCUUCGUCACCUCUGGGGAAGCUGAAACAGUAAUGCCUACUGACGGAAAACGGGACCCCCGUCAGACACAAAUACUGUACUCUGGUUUAUUUAGAAAUAGCUUUACUUGUUUAUUUUAUUGGUUAUUUUUAGGAUAAAAGUGGCACAUGCACUCUAAGAAAGGCUGGGA